CAGUCUGUGUUACAGCUUUGCCGUCAGGGUAGCUCCUUACGAGCUGCCCAAACUGAGGACCAGUUUUCCUCACAGGAGGAGGCUGGUGGGGCCUAGGGUGUUAGGGGUACAACGGUUGGCUCUUUCACAGAACGGGUGUUUUCCGUUCUGCGUUUGAGUCUGCCGUCUUUGGGCGUCUCCCUCUGAGAUGUCGGUUAGGAUUUCUUUUUUUUAUAUGUCCGUGUGUGUAACUGUUGCCUUUUAGCCUGUUGUGUUCCUGAGCAGCAAGAAGAGGCGGCUGUGGUGACCCGCCCGAUGCGGAAGGCUUCUGGGCCCUGUCGGCGGGGGCGCACCUCUCUGGCUGACUGGUUGACCAGGCUUUGACCAGGUGGCCGGGGAGGCGCAUCCUCGCUGGGCGGGGUCUGGGGGCCCUCCGUCUUGGGGAGGUCGCUGCAGCAGGAGGAGGUAACUACUGCUGGUUUUGUAAGGCAUUGUGGUUGAGAGCACCUUGCAGCUGUAACGCGAAUUUCGUUCCGUAAUAAACAAUGUACCGCCAUGCUGCCUGUCCUUCCUCCCUCCCAGCACUGUGUACGUCUGUGUGUGUGUGUUGCUUAAUUCUCCCUCACUGCACUGUGUACGUCUGUGUGUGUGUGUGUGUUGCUUAAUUCUCCCUCACUGCACUGUGUACGUCUGUGUGUGUGUGUGUGUUGCUUAAUUCUCCCUCCCAGCACUGUGUACGUCUGUGUGUGUGUGUUGCUUAAUUCUCCCUCACUGCACUGUGCGUACGUCUGUGUGUGUGUGUUGCUUAAUUCUCCCUCCCAGCACUGUGUACGUCUGUGUGUGUGUGUUGCUUAAUUCUCCCUCACUGCACUGUGCGUACGUCUGUGUGUGUGUGUGUUGCUCUGUCUCUCUCUCUCAAUCUCUCUCUCUGUCUGUCUCUCUAUCUCUCAAUCUCUCUCUGUGUCUUUCUCUCUCUCUAGUUAGUAAAGAACGGGCAACGUUUGCCACGGAAGACUCUACAGUAUAAGACUCUACAGUAUACAUAAGAGUCUACAGUGUACAUCCCAACCCUCUACGGCCGUUGCUGCUCCACCCGGGCAUUACCACAUCCACCCGGGUCUACAAGAAACCUCCACGGCCGAGCCUCAACCACAGAACACACCGCUACGGUUGAUGAGGUUCCACGCCCCGGACUACCGCCAUGUUAGCCUCCAUAAUAGUCCUCGGCGCACUUGUUCUGAGACGUCCUGACUGGAGAGCUACACAACACUGGUCAUCCGCUGAGUGGUUGAAUUCCUGGUCUACCGGCCCCUGGAGGAGUGGUUGAUUGCCUGGUCUACUGUGGAUAUGAGUGGUUGAUUCCCUGGUCUACCCCUGGAUGACGCAGCUGUUCCUAUGCAGGGGAAGACUCACACAAGCGAUAAGCACCUGUCAGACCUGGAGACUCCCCCCUGAGCCUGACGGUGGAGCUGUGGGCCCUGCACCAGACCCCCACACCCCCCCCCACACCACCCACAGCAGGGGCAGGGCGUUGAGACUACCCCCACAGGCUAAGACAGGGAGGGACUUGAAGAUCCAGGUUUUUGUCAUCUGCACAGGAAUUGACACAUGGUAUUUGGGAGCAGCGAGUAGCAGGCUUUUUUAAUAUAGUUUCCUUUUUUGUGUGUGCCCUUGAGCUGUCUCCUUUGUUGUAGAAAAAAUACUUGACAAGGCUUUCAUAGGUGUUUGGGGCAUUUCCAGGGGUAGUUUAAUGACCCUGGUGGUAGUCUGACCCUUCCUCUGUGCAAUGAACUUGAAAAAAACGCUCAUAAAAAUGCAGAUAUUAACCCAGUAGCAGCGGGGAUCAUGUUUCUUAAUGGUCCCUCCAAGCGAGAAAAAUGAGAGAAAAUCACCCCUCACACAAACCAUUUCAUAUAUAUCAAAGUAUUUGCGAUCAGUUAUGUAUCAUCUAAUUUUUGGGGUUUAUAUCAUGGCACAAAUUUGGCCUGUCGCUGCUACACGGUAAAGCCACAAAUUUGGCCCAUCGCUGCUACGGGGUUAACCUCAUUAUCAUGUUAAAAUCCCUGUAUCUCACUGUUAUCUUCCUCUCCCUCUAUAUUAUUUGUCAAUCUCUCUCUUUCUCUCUCCCACAGAUGUCUAAGGUUCUGCCCAUGCAGCUGAAGGGUGCCAAUGCCUACACAUGCAUCGACCACAGGUGUGCGCUGGACAUUGCCUACAAUUCAUGGUGCAAAUGGGAGCGUCGGCGGAGAUCGAGCUGGCUGAAGGUUGGCGGCUGGGUCAAGCUCGCAACGGACAAGGAGUUCUAUGAGAUGUGCUCGGCGGAUGUUGUUGACCUCAGCCACAUCAAUGUUACUAAGGUGGUGGAGGUUGGGAACGGCAUCUACAUUGACGACGGACUCAAGGAGAUCGCUGAGACUACUACUACUACUACUAUUACUAUUACUAUCCUCUAUACUGAUAUGUGUACUAUUAAAUCCUCUUUACUGCUACUAUGUGUACUAUUGAAUCCCUUAUAUAGUACUUCCAUGACAGCUGAUACUUCUACUACUACUACUAUGACCACUCAAUCCCUGGUAAGUACAAUGUCAUUAUCAUCAUCAUUAUUUAGGUUAAGGUCCAUUUAAUUCAAUCUUCCUGAGCGGUUGGACGCUUUAUGGCUCUCCUCCAUUCUACUCUGUCUUCCGCCCAAUGCUUAUACAGUCCUAUCAAUCCCAAGUCUUCCUGUACACACCUUCUCCAUGUUUUCCUAGGGCUACCAACUGGUCUCCUUCCUUCUACCUCCAUUCUACUCUGUCUUCCCCCCAAUGCUUAUACAGUCCUAUCAAUCCCAAGUCUUCCUGUACACACCUUCUCCACGUUUUUCUAGCUCUACCAACUGGUCUCCUUCCUUCUACCUCCAUUCUACUCUGUCUUCUGCCCAAUGCUCAUCCAAUCCCAUCACUUCCAAGUCUUCCUGUACACACCUUCUCCACGUUUUCCUAGGUCUACCAACUGGUCUCCUUCCUUCUACCUCCAAUCUCUCCAACACUCCCAGCACUGUAUCCUCCCCUGCUCUCUUUACAUGUCCAAACCAUUGGAGUCUUUCCCUUCUGAGCACUGUUUCCAGGUCCUCUACUAAAACUCCCAGCACUGUGUCCUCCCCUGCUCUCUUUACAUGUCUCUGCCAAAUAUUUCCCUCUCCCUGCCUCUGUCCCUGCCAAAUCACUCUCUCCAUGCCUGUGUCCCUGCCAUAUCUCUCCCUCCCUGCCAAAUCUAGCCUCUCCUCCUUACCUAACCUACCUUACCC
Long non-coding RNA from Eriocheir sinensis (Chinese mitten crab), 3265 nucleotides. RefSeq lists it as uncharacterized. The transcript is spliced from 4 exons. The record is from RefSeq and is a predicted model, not a curated record. NCBI's taxonomy places the organism in Eukaryota, Metazoa, Arthropoda, Malacostraca, Decapoda, Varunidae.